This 496-nucleotide ribosomal RNA is filed under the name uncultured bacterium. RNAcentral describes it as "partial 16S ribosomal RNA". It matches the Rfam family "Bacterial small subunit ribosomal RNA", at positions 28 to 507 of the family's 1533-position model. The record is from RNAcentral.
GAUGAACGCUGGCGGCGUGCCUAAUACAUGCAAGUCGAGCGAACAGAUAAGGAGCUUGCUCCUUUGACGUUAGCGGCGGACGGGUGAGUAACACGUGGGUAACCUACCUAUAAGACUGGGAUAACUUCGGGAAACCGGAGCUAAUACCGGAUAACAUUGGGACCCCAAGGGUUUUAAGGGGAAAGUGGGUUUUGUUAUACUUAAUAGAGGAACCGCGCCGUAUUAGCUGGUUGGUAAGGUAACGGCUUUUCAAGGGGACGAUACGUUGCCGACUUGAGAGGGUGGUCGGCCCCACUGGAACUGGGACACGGUCCAGACUCCUACGGGAGGCAGCAGUAGGGAAUCUUCCGCAAUGGGCGAAAGCCUGACGGAGCAACGCCGCGUGAGUGAUGAAGGGUUUCGGCUCGUAAAACUCUGUUAUUAGGGAAGAACAAAUGUGUAAGUAACUGUGCACGUCUUGACGGUACCUAAUCAGAAAGCCACGGCUAACUACGUG